UUUAAGAAGAAAACCCUAAUUGUUGAAGUGUCUCUCUUUUCUCCUCCCUCGAGCAGCUUUCUCUCUUCUUUUCCUCCAUUCCGUCCUCUCUCAACCAUGAAAUCCUAACCGUUUUCUCAUGUUUUCUUUGUAGUUUUUCAGUUUCGUCUUCCUCUUCAAUGGAUUCUCGGUAUCGUUCAUAAACUAACAGAUUAAUGUGUUGGAUAUAUGGAAUCAAAAAUAAAUUUCUAUUUAAUUUUUUGUAUAAAUCCUUGGAGGUAUAAUGCAAAUCUUUAAAGUACCAUCACAGAUUGAACUCAGUCAAGGUUUGUGUUUGGCCUAAUUUGUUUAUUGUGAAUUGAAAAACUAAAAUGCAUUUCAUGCUUUGUGUUUGACCUAAUGGAGAUUUAUGGAAACAACAAGAUUUGUAUUAAUUGAUUAUUUUAGAUUUAGAUGUUGACUAAUGUAAAACAUUAUAUUGUAAAAUCAUAUAAUGCAAUUACACCAUAUUUGUAUUCCUUA
Long non-coding RNA from Mercurialis annua (annual mercury), 501 nucleotides. RefSeq lists it as uncharacterized. The transcript is spliced from 4 exons. Lineage: Eukaryota; Viridiplantae; Streptophyta; Magnoliopsida; Malpighiales; Euphorbiaceae. The record is from RefSeq and is a predicted model, not a curated record.